This 19-nucleotide small nuclear RNA is filed under the name Arabidopsis thaliana (thale cress). RNAcentral describes it as "snRNA_06419". Lineage: Eukaryota; Viridiplantae; Streptophyta; Magnoliopsida; Brassicales; Brassicaceae. The record is from RNAcentral.
UACAUCUUUUGCGAGUCAA